AGUGGGUUUCACCAGAAGCAGGUAGUCCAACCGUAAGGAGGGCGCUUGCCAUGGUGAGAUUCAUGACUGGGGUGAAGUCGUAACAAGGUAGCCGUAGGUGAACCUGCAGAAGGAUCA
Molecule: ribosomal RNA, 117 nt
Filed under: uncultured eukaryote
Lineage: Eukaryota
Description: partial small subunit ribosomal RNA
Rfam family: Bacterial small subunit ribosomal RNA
Source: RNAcentral